Gallus gallus (chicken) is the source of this 2663-nucleotide long non-coding RNA. Lineage: Eukaryota; Metazoa; Chordata; Aves; Galliformes; Phasianidae. The record is from Ensembl.
UUCUGCCCCAGUUGACAGAUGCAGAGAAAACAGAGAAACAAACAGCUGGCUAAGCCUGUUUUAUUAUCAGCUCAAAACUGAGACUGACAGGGAUUUAGGCCAGGUUUGGCUAGGCAUUCAGCACGUGUGUAAACUUGAAGACGGGCAUUGUCCUCUUAUAACAAGUGACACCAUCAGGCUGAAAGUAAGGUACACGCUCCAGCAUCACAGAGAAUUGGGAAUGGGACCUCUCUGCUGCAGCUAUGCUUGAUGCCACCACAUGAACGAGGGCACCCACCUGCAGUCAUGUGCAGAACAUGAACUUUGCUCUUCUAAUGGGGAUGAGCAGGACUCAGCCGGAGACGGCUCCCGAGGCUCUGUAAUCGAAUCUUUCCAUUCUAACAGCAGGUAAACCUGGUGGCUGGCUCUCAGAGCUGCUUGUUGAAUACCACACAGCCUCUUCCACCCUCCUGCAGAAGCUGCCGGCACCAGGGCACUUUCUCACUGGAUAAUAAUGCUCCAGAUUGGGUGUGUUUAUUACAGACACCAUUUCUGAUGGGAAGAUAGUUAUUAAAGGCUGUACGGAGAGCAAGAUCAAUAUUCGGUUUGAUGAUGUCGGACGAAGCGGCCUAAAGGAAUGGUGAGUUUCAAAACACCGCUUUCUGCCAUAUAAAUCUACAUGUUGAAGUGUCAUCUAGAGGUACUAAAUAGGAUGAGGGUAUUGCUGUGACAAGUACUGCAGAAACUCCAGCUUCUGUGACCCAGCAGGACAUGGAAGCAACAGACCCAUUUGCCACAUUCAGCUGCAUUCAGUAGAGAGGCUGAGGCUUGGAGACAUUGAAUAUCUGAAGGCUUUUGAAGAAGAAACAUCACCCUAAUACUUCCACAGCAGGAGGCAGCUGAGCUUCACCUUCAGCUCAGACUCUGCCAAGGAACACCUAAAGGAUGAGCAAAUCAGAUAAAGGAGGGGAGUGCAGGACCAUGGAGUGAUGGAGGACUUAGGGAUGCAAAUUUGUAUGUAACCACCUCUUUCAGUCCCACUACUCACAGGGUGACUUCUUUAUGUAGAACCUGAAUGAUUGCAUGUUAUCUUCAAAUGCAUCUGGACCCCUUACGAGUGAUUGCUAAUAAUAAUAUACAGGUGAACACAGAUGAGAAAUGCAGCCUACAUAAUCCCUAAAGUGGACUCCUGCACUGACCCACUCAAGUACAGAAGCAGAUCAUGAUGAAGAACCAGUGCAGACUGCCUUAUCCUGUGGGGAUACCCAGCCUGAGGGCGAUAAAGAAGGCAAAUCCCAAGCUCUGCUUCCUUAAUCAGAGAGGAAAGAGGUUUUGUGUGCAGACAGUUCUGCUGAUAGGAACAAGGGUGCUCCAAGGUGUCCCUGUGCAGUCUUUGCUUGUGGGACCCAUCACCUCCUUAGAAACAUGGCCGCCUUCUACCACAGGGACAGAGAAAAAGUACCAUUUCAAAUAUGCCCCAUCUGUGGUUCCUAUGUUUGGAAAGCACUGGUGCACCUGUGAAAGGAGCGGAGUGAGCUGCAGGAGCAUUUGAUCUUGUGUAUUGAUCUCCCUGAAGAAAUGAGCCAACCUGCUGCCAACUUGCACUGAUCUGGAUGCUUUGCUCUGUGAUCGACAGCAAGGUAGUGUGCCAGAAAGGUCUGGGUUGUCCGAGCUGGAUUUGUGCCAUGAGAGUCAUGGGCCAGACUUUGCAGCUAGGAUUUGCAGGUGGUUUGUACUUCAGAUUUACCAUUUCCUUAAUACUCGAGGAUGGUGACACAAUCCUUCCUCUCUUUUGGAGAGAUGGCAGGGACGUUUGCACCACAUAUUAUCUUACUGAGAAAGGAGGUGGAAAUCCACUAGCGUGGUAGUACAGAUGAAAAUAUUAUCACAUUUGCUACACAACAUUUCCAUAUACAUUCUGAGGGCAUUUCUGUGGACAACAGAUGGGGGACUCACUGUCAAUAUGAGGAGGGCAGCAGAGAGAUCUUUGAGAUAAUUUGGAAGAGAAUUUGCAGAGAAGGCAAAUGUACCUCCUUCAGCUGGACAAGCUGUCAGAAGUCCUAACAAAGUUCCUCACAUUUUCUCUCUUCGGUGUAUUUUUAUAAGAAGGGAAAAUUGAAGGGAAAAGAAAGUCUCCUCUAAUCCUUACAAAAGUAUUGCUUUAUUGCACAUUCAUGAUAACGUGAUAACUUCUGUUUUCAAGAAAUGAAAUUCCAUAUGAUGGGUUAUUCUGAAAAGUGUUGACAAAUACAAUCCUAAUAUAAACCUUAAAACAAUACAAUUAUUGAUGCAAUGGCAUAUAAUAUCUCAACUUUCUUGAAGUAUUAUGCUUACUAUUAGUUUUUGCGCUUGGUAUUCUAUUAAAAAAUAAAAAAUGACCUCUUUUACCAUCACUGCAUCUAUCUCUCUAUAUUUAUUUGAUGCACAUCACAUGCUGCUGUCCAGAGAGCCUCUCCUCCAUUUCCAAAGUCAUCUCUCUCCACUGGCUUACAUCAUUUGGUCUUGGUGCACUGUCUCCGUUGGAAAAUUUGAACAACCUUUUCAAAACCACACACACGUUCCUUACCAGCUGCCUUUGUGAAUGGAGCCUUUUCCAGAAAAAUGUGACCUCACUUGGAAAUGACGCAAAGCUUUGGUUAGCACUGCAGAGUCUGAGCUGGUAAGACCUACCUGCUGAUACGGUG